CUCGUAGGCGGUCUGUCGCGUCUGCUGUGAAAACUCGGGGCUUAACCCCGGGCCUGCAGUGGGUACGGGCAGACUAGAGUGCGGUAGGGGAGACUGGAAUUCCUGGUGUAGCGGUGAAAUGCGCAGAUAUCAGGAGGAACACCGGUGGCGAAGGCGGGUCUCUGGGCCGUAACUGACGCUGAGGAGCGAAAGCAUGGGGAGCGAACAGGAUUAGAUACCCUGGUAGUCCAUGCCGUAAACGUUGGGCGCUAGGUGUGGGGCUCUUUCCACGAGUUCCGUGCCGCAGCUAACGCAUUAAGCGCCCCGCCUGGGGAGUACGGCCGCAAGGCUAAA
Molecule: ribosomal RNA, 333 nt
Filed under: uncultured bacterium
Lineage: Bacteria
Description: bacterial SSU rRNA
Rfam family: Bacterial small subunit ribosomal RNA
Source: RNAcentral